UCAAGCUUCUUGUUCUGAGUCUCUAUAUAAAAAGAAUUAGACUCAUGGACAGGAAUAAUCUCCAAGCUCAGAAGAAAAAAUACAAACUGAAAAACUCACUUCCUUAUUUCAUUUCUGCCCUUUUGACUUUCUAGAGCAGACUGGCACUUGCAAAUCUUUAGCUGGAUUUACAUUUUCAGCAAAUACAAAUGAGUUGUUACACAUCUAGAGGGCUGCAGGGCAAAAGAAAGGAGUCACUGAACCUGAAUCAGACGGAAUUUAAAAUGUGAGAGCACCCAGAAAGCUCCAAACCUGUGCUCUCAGAGGACUGGAUCUCAUGUGCCCUGUUUUAAGAUUCCUUCAACCUCAGGAUUCCUGAUCAUCUCAUCAGCCGACUUGUUAAGAAAACUGAGACCCAGGGAAGUGACUCACAAUUGUGUAGAAUUGUGAGGUGUCUUGACUGCUGGGCCAGGACUGAAGGACAUAUGGCCUCUCCUGGAAUCGAUCUCAGCUACAGAGAACCACCUUGCCCAAGGUCGCCACCCUCUCACCAAGGGGGUCACUUGGAUCUAAUGAUUGGUUAAUGCUGGGGGGGGUAAGGCUUGGCCCCCAGCCUCAACAGUGAUGGCGAUGGCUCCGAGGGUCAUUCUAUCUUCAGAGUUUCGUUUAGGUUGAGGGACGCCAUGUUGGGACUGCAUCGUAGCUCAGCUUCUCUCUGCCUGGUUCUGCUUCCUUUACUUUCCCGUCUGUUGUUAGUCCCAAAGCACACCCCAGUAAACUUCCUGCAUGUGAGUUUGUCUUAGACUGCUUACCAGGGUAUCGUAUGUACAACACUCAGGAGUAGAGAGUCACUGAAACAGCCCUAGCUCUGAGAGACCCCUCCUGACCAGCCAUCACCCCUCCCGCUCUUCCUUACUCUGAUUUAUUGUCUUUACAGAAUUUAACUCUCAGGUCUAUGGCCACACCGCCCUGAAUGUGCCUGAUCUUGUCUGAUUUUGGAAGCUAAGCAGGGUCGGGCCUGGUUUGUACUUGGAUGGGAGAAUUUAGUGCUUGAACACUGUUGCUGUAGAUUUCUUUAAUAAAUAAAUUUGACCACCUUCCCCACUAGACGGUAAGCUCUGUGCAUGUGGGGACCUAGUCUCUCUUGUUCUGCAGAGCCAAGAGCAGGGCCUGGUACCUGACAGGCACUCAGACAACACUUACUGAACAAGUGAAUGAACUUCCAGGCAGGAAGAGUCACACAUCCUCACCAACAACUCCUAGGGUUUUAGAGAACUAGAAAGUCUAGGAAUACAGAGGGUGCUUUCAAAAGUGUUGUCUGUAAUUGGAAAUGCCUUCUGUUUGUUUAGUGCUUUAGUUUUAUUCAUUUAUUUUUUUAAAGCAGUUCAUUCAAUAUUGAUAGCAACCCAUAUUAUCAUAAACCCCCAUGUGGUGGGCAGGAUAGAGGGUUGCUUUGAGGCACUGGGAGAGGAGAAACCGGCCUUGGUGAGUUGAGUCUCUUGCUCAGCCAGGCCCACUUGGAAAUGCUGGUUUCCUGCCUCCUGGACCCAUGGUCCUGUCUCUGCAUCAUCAGCAGAGGCAAACUCAAGUCAGUUUCCACUGAAACUCACCGAAUCUGACUUUCCCCCAGGAAUACUCACAUGGGGGCCAUUUUAUUGGAGAGGAUUUCAUAUUCACCACCCUGUGCUGAAUUCUAAGUGCUAGCUCAGUGCUUUCAGGUGAUUACCAUUCUUUUUCUUUCUUUCUUUUUUUUUUUAUGAGAUGGAGUCUUGCUGUUGCCCAGGCUGGAGUGCAGUGGUGUGAUCUCGGCUCACUGCAACCUCCGCCUCCCAGGUUCAAGCAAUUCUCGUGUCUCAGCCUCUUGAGUGGCUGGGAUUACAGGCGUAUAUCACCACGCCCAGCUAAUUUUUGUAUUUUUUAGUAGAGACGGGGUUUAUCACAUUGGCCAGGCUGGCCUCGAACUCCUGACCUCAAGUGAUCCGCCCGUCUCAGCCUCCCAAAGUGCUGGGAUUACAGGUGUGAGCCACCGUGCCCGGCCGAUGACCAUUCUUAAGAGUUUGGGAUUACUCUUCCAAAUGGAGAGGAUUCAGCCAUAUCUGAUAUUGGUGAUUUGAGAAGGGGGAUGUCUAGGAUUGAUGCUUUGAGAAGACAAUCUCAAUUUUCUUAGAAUAUGAUUCCUUUUUUCCUUGGAGGGUUAUUUUUAAGUAGCAGAUUCUGGGAACUCCCCAUGCCCUCCACCUCCUACUCCCAAAUUCCGCCCCCGCCCGCCCCCGCGGCCAAGUAGGCCUGGUCUCUAGAUGCCCAAGGCCAGGGCCUGUCACCCACAGGCAUGGAAAGUGUUCAGGUCCACUCAGACUGUGCUGCUAUCUGAAGGACUGAUAACAUACGAGGAGAAGGCCCUUUGGUCCUACACUGUGAAUGAGUAAGGGGCAGCUGCAAAAUGCUAAGAAUGCUGAGUGCAUUAAGUGAAGUGUUUCUCCCAGGUGUGCACAGGGUAUGGUUUCCAAGGGGAAUGCAGAUGCUGGAAAGAGGGAGGCAGCCACCCAGGCCGGCCAAGUCAGAGGCCCAGCAAGGAGAAAGUGAGCCAAGGCAGAUGCCGACAGAAGAGAACGAUAAAUCCGCGGCGCACUCGGCAGAAUGUCCACCACACCGCAUAAUUUAGCCGGGCAAUGCCGUCGGGAGUCCACGCCAAGUUAAUGGAAUAUUUCCUGUAAAUAUUAUUUUCCCUUCCUGUCUCAUCAUCUCAUUUCAUUCAAAAAUCUUUACUAAUCCGGGGGAGUGAAAGUAAUGCAUCAAUUUCCAGAGCCAAUGCCCCUGCUUCCGAAAUACCCUUAGGAAUCACUGGAAGCCACGGCAGCUGCUUAGGGACAGGGCGCAGGCCAUUUACUCUGGUUCCUUCCCCUAAUGCCUCAGAGAGGACCCCAUAGUGCUCCUAAUUGUGCAUUUAAGUGUACAUAAAAGCCCCCCUAAUUGCACAUCAAAUAAAUAAGUAAAUGCUGUCUGCUGAAUAUGUAACAAGGAUUGACGUUGCUAUUUCUUCCCAGGGGGGAGAUUUCAUUAAAUCUGGGCUGCAUUUCUAGUGAUGAUUUACAGAUAUUGAA
This is a long non-coding RNA of Symphalangus syndactylus (siamang), 3080 nucleotides long. RefSeq lists it as uncharacterized. Lineage: Eukaryota; Metazoa; Chordata; Mammalia; Primates; Hylobatidae. The record is from RefSeq and is a predicted model, not a curated record.